UCUUAAAAUAAGAAGGUCCAGCCCUGCCCAGUUGGAUACAAUUUAACGGCCGCGGGUAUACUGACCGUGCGAAGGUAGCAUAAUCACUUGUUCUUUAAAUGGGGACUAGUAUGAACGGCACCACGAGGGCUUUACUGUCUCCUCCCUCCAAUCAGUGAAACUGACCUCCCUGUGAAGAGGCAGGGAUACCACUAUAAGACGAGAAGACCCCAUGGAGCUUUAAACCCAACAACAGCCCAAACACCACCACCCCAAAAAGUUUUAAGGGUAUUGCUAGUUGGUUUUAGGUUGGGGUGACCGCGGAGUAUAAACUAUCCUCCACGACGAACGGGCCUACCCCCUUACCCAAGAGCUACGCCUCUAAGGAUUAACACAUUAACGUAAAAUGAUCCAAAUAUUUGAUCAACGAACCAAGUUACCCUGGGGAUAACAGCGCAAUCCAUUUUUAGAGCCCCUAUCGACAAAUGGGUUUACGACCUCGAUGUUGGAUCAGGGUAUCCAGGAGGUGCAGCCGCUUCCAAUGGUUUGUUUGUUCAACAAUUAAAACCCUACGUGAUCUGAGUUCAAAACCGGGAGAAGAA
RNAcentral lists this ribosomal RNA (581 nucleotides) under Euphlyctis kalasgramensis. RNAcentral's name for it is "partial large subunit ribosomal RNA". It matches the Rfam family "Bacterial large subunit ribosomal RNA", at positions 1836 to 2628 of the family's 2925-position model. The record is from RNAcentral. Lineage: Eukaryota; Metazoa; Chordata; Amphibia; Anura; Dicroglossidae.